GGCAUCGACCUUAGUUUGUGUGUAUCUUUUUUGUAGGGACAAGGGAGAUAUAAGUAGAAGAGCAGAAAAAGAGGCAGUAGCCCGUUUAUGUGACGAAUAUGGUAAAAAAAAAUCUAUGCAUGUUAGCCUUAAGCAUCCAGCUUCGCAUCUUUAAUUUUCUUUACAAACCAUUGUUCAUUCUCGUGAUCUUUUCGUCCUUUUGAAGUGAGACCACAGCUCAGGGACUGCAUUCAGGUGGUAGCCGAGGUAGAGGACAGGGGGUGGAGAGGGAGAACCUCAGGGGCCGCCAAUAGCUACGGUCCACUGCUGCGCGCUCAUCUUGGGCAGCGGUAUUUACGGUAAAGGAGGGGGCGGGAGAGGGGGAGGGGGGACCGCCAGAGCUGUCCGUUCUCCCUCCGUGUCAGGUGAUCUCGAGCUAGGAGCCGAGCCCAGCCGAGCCGUGUAGCUGCCGCUGCUCCUGCUGCCUAAGGAAAAUGCAAAAUGGCACAUUGGGGAUGUGAGGGAUUCUGCCACUCGCUUUCGCGGCCCAGAUCCACCGCAUCCUCUCUCCGCAGUUCGCGGGCAAGCAUGCGGCUGUAGGUCCCUGCCGGGCUGUCCCCGGGUAUCCUAGCCAAAGUGGUGGUGAUUCGGCAGCGGCUGCUGCCGGAGCAGGGGGGGGGGGGGGGGGGGGGGGGGGGGGGGGGGGGGGGGGGGGGGGGGGGGGGGGGGGGGGGGGGGGGGGGGGGGGGGGAGACCGACGAGAGAAGGUGUUUCCUCUCGGCUCCCCCCCACCCCGAACCCCCCUCCCCUGCCUUCUCCUCCUCUUCCUCCUUUUCCUCUUCCCCCUCCCCCUCCCUGCCUCCUCCCCCUCUUCUGCCUUCUCCUCCUCCUCCUCCUCCCCUUUUACCUCCUCCUCCUCCUCCUCUGGCUCCCCACACCCCGCUCCAUAGUGAAACAUGGGACUGUGCUACAGUCUGCGGCCACGGCUCUUUGGGGAUCCCAGCGGCUCCACUUCCAAUGCCACGACCUCGGAAUCGGAGCCGCCACCACCGCAGCAGCAGCAACAGCAACAGCUGCCCCAGCAGCAACCGGACCGCACCGCCCUGCCACCACUAAGCUCCGGGGAGCUUCGCCGUCCCGGGGACCCACGGACAGCGGCUGCGAUCAGGGUUGGGAGUGGAGAAGGUGGCGGUGGUAGCAGCAACGGUGGAGGUUGCGUGGGGGAAGCGGUGGUGUCAACAGCAGCUGCAGGGUCGCUCAGCCACGGGGACGUCGCGGGCAAGCAGCUGUGCGUCGGGGACCGGGACGGAGCGCUAGUCCUGCAGAACGGUGGCGGUGGCAGCGGCAGCGCUGGGAAUGGGGCGGCGGAAAGGCAGCAGAAGCACCCGCAGCAGCCCAAGCAGCAGCCCAAGCAGCAGCCGCCGAAGCAGCAACAGAAGCAGCAGCAGCCUUCGAAGCAGCAGCAGCAGAAACAGCAACAGCAAAAACAGCAGCAGCAGAAACAGCAGCAGCAGAAGCACGGCAAGCAGAAGCAGCAGCCGCUCAAGCAGCACUGGGACAAACUGCGCGUGGAGGAACGUGAGGCCGAGAGGGAAGCGAAGAAAGUGAGCAAGAGCAUCGACCGGGCGCUCAAGGAGCAGAAGAGGGAGUACAAACAGACUCACAGACUUCUCUUACUGGGCGAGAUGACAAACGGAUUGGAUUCCAUGGGACUACAACAACCAACCAGGAGGUCAAAAAUUUUAUGGAGCAAUGACCUAGAUAUUUUCAUAUACAUCAUAAUUGGUAAUUGA
RNAcentral lists this long non-coding RNA (1772 nucleotides) under Sarcophilus harrisii (Tasmanian devil). RNAcentral's name for it is "lncRNA (ENSSHAG00000029293.1)". The record is from RNAcentral. Lineage: Eukaryota; Metazoa; Chordata; Mammalia; Dasyuromorphia; Dasyuridae.